GCCGCUCAGAUUUAUUUCGUCCUCCCUACUGCCAAGCUUAAGUAUCGCCUCGCCGCAUUCGACAUGGCGGCGUUGGCCAUCGAGGCCAUCCUGGCGCUCGACCAAAUCAGCCGCCGAAAAAGAAAGCUCAGAUCUACCCUACUUGGACGGCGAUGGAGGAUCCGCAGUCGAAUCACACCGUUAAUCACGGCUGAGCUCGAACGCGGCCACUGUGAAGUAGGGAACGAACUCCGCCUGAUGAGGAGGUUUUGACGGAGAAGGUGAAAUUGUUGGCAAAGAGAAAGAGAUGAGAUUUCAGGCUGCGGCGGCAACUUCGCCGGAGAAGCUGCCUCGCCAGAAAUUUCAGGCGGCAGCGGCCGAGGCGACGACGACGGAGGCGGAGGCGGUGACCGGCGACUGUCGAGAGAGAGAAGAAAUGCAACUGUGGAUUGGGAGAUGAAAGGAGAGAGAGAGCGAGCGAGAGAAGUGAGGGAGUAUUUNCUUCGCCGGAGAAGCUGCCUCGCCAGGAAUUUCAGGCGGCAGCGGCAGAGGCGACGACGACGGAGGCGGAGGCGGUGACCGGCGACUGUCGAGAGAGAGAAGAAAUGCAACUGUGGAUUGGGAGAUGAAAGGAGAGAGAGAGCGAGCGAGAGAAGUGAGGGAGUAUUUUUGACUGGCCUAUUUUUUAAAUUUUAAAGUGAAGGGUAAUUUUGUACUUUUACACAAAAACUGGCCAAUUUUUUAUGUUUUUAUUUCAUAGGCCAAAAUUUAAUUUUACUAUAUGAAAGUGGCUAUAUUUAUAUAUUAACACUUGUUUAAAAGUGGUGGCUAUAUAAGUCUCAAACUAUAUGCUUUUGGUUACAUAUGUCUUUCUCCCUUUAUUUUAUGUUAUUUUUAUUAUUAUAACAUAUGAAAUAGUUUAUAUAUAAAUUAAUGUAGAAAUUCGACGGGAAUCAUUUUAUGUCAUCAUUUAUAAUUAUUUUAUGUUAUUUUUAUUACUAUAACAUAUGAAAUAGUUUAUAUAUAAAUUAAUGGUAAUUUAAACUAGCAUCAAACCUGUCGAAAUUCGACGGGAAUCAUUUUAUGUCAUUAUUUAUAAUUAUUUUAUAAAUCCAUAUAUAUAUAUAUAUAUAUAUAUAAUUAAUGAAAAAUUGAAGAAAAUUAAAAUAGAGUGAUUAUACGGCGCCACGUAGGAUAUGAUUUAUUUUGCUAUUAUAUAUAGGGUUAAAUAAUUUUAAUACCCACUUCCAUAAUAUAUUUAUCAAAUCUACCCACCCUUAUAAAACAUCUAUGAAAAAUACCCACUUCAUAGUGAAAUACCAUUCCUACCCUUAUACUAUAUCUCUCUUAAUACUUCAUCUUAUACAUUAAUCCGCGCUUUCAAAAUUGGUAUCAGAGCGGGUUUUUAUUGAGAAAUUAUUUUAUAUUUAAUUUAUUUUAUAAUUAACCUAUGUGGGAGGAGACUCCAUUAAAAAAUUAUGGAUCCGGACGAUUGUCCGAGAUGUGUACCAUACAGGAAUUCUCUCCAACAUUUGGAGAGAGAAACCACUCGUUNAAUUUUGGGUUUUUAAAGUUUGAAUUCACAAUUAAAAUUAGAAUUUAUUUUGGUUGUAAAUUCAAAAAUAUUAAGUUGUGAAUUUGGAGUUUUUAAAAUUUGAAUUCACAAUAAAACUAAAAUUAAUUUUGAUUGUGAAUUCGAGUUUUAGUUGUGAAUUCAUAGUUGUGGUUGUGAAUUCAAGAAUAUUCAGUUGUGAAUUCAUAGAUGUGGUUGUGAAAUUCAAAAAACAUUAAGUUGUGAAUUCAUAGACGUGGUCGUGAAUUCAAGAAAAUUAAGUUGUGAAUUUAUCAAUUCUGUUGUGAAUUCAAGAACAAUAAAAAAAAAUACAAGAAAUUUAGUAUGUUUCUCAUAAAAAAUUCAACCAAUGAGCAUAAGAGAGAGAGAUCUAAGCUACAUAAAUUCUACAUAUCUCUAAAGGACAUUCCCCAAAAUUGGCAGAAAAUGACAACAGCAGCUCCACGAUUGUGAAAUGCACACCUACCCCCAUAAACUCAUUAUUGCAGCAAGGAAUCAAGGAAAAAGGCAUCAAGGAAAAGUUACACAAGGAAAAAGGCACCAGUGAAUUGCGCCUCUUCUCUCUUCCCAUAACCGCUUCCCAAGCACUCCAAUCCCUAAAUUUAUCCCCAAAUUCCUUCUUUCUCUGCAACUUCGCAUCUACUUCGACGAUUUCAUCCCAUCCCUCCCCCAUGACGACCUACUCAACGCCGCUCAGAUUUAUUUCGUCCUCCCUACCGCCAAGCUUUAGUAUCGCCUCGCCGCAUUCGACAUGGCGGCGUUGGCCAUCGAGGCCAUCCUGGCGCUCGACCAAAUCGGCCGCCCAAAAAGAAAGCUCAGAUCUACCCUACUUGGACGGCGAUGGAGGAUCCGCAGUCGAAUCACAUCGUUAAUCACGGCUGAGCUCGAACGCGGCCACUGUGAAGUAGGGAACGAACUCCGUCUGAUGAGGAGGUUUUGACGGAGAAGGUGAAAUUGUUGGCAGAGAGAAAGAGAGGAGAUUUCAGGCUGCGGCGGCAACUUCGCCGGAGAAGCUGCCUCGCCAGGAAUUUCAGGCGGCGGCGGCAGAGGCGACGACGACGGAGGCGGAGGCGGUGACCGGCGACUGUCGAGAGAGAGAAGAAAUGCAAUUGUGGAUUGGGAGAUGAAAGGAGAGAGAGAGCGAGCGAGAGAAGUGAGGGAGUAUUUUUGACUGGCCAUUUUUUUAAAUUUUAAAGUGAAGGGUAAUUUUGUACUUUUACACAAAAACUGGC
RNAcentral lists this long non-coding RNA (2784 nucleotides) under Salvia miltiorrhiza (redroot sage). RNAcentral describes it as "long non-coding RNA (SMIL_LNC006069)". The record is from RNAcentral. Lineage: Eukaryota; Viridiplantae; Streptophyta; Magnoliopsida; Lamiales; Lamiaceae.